AAAUAGAUUUCGCAUGGAAUAGCAACAAUGAGGGUGUAGAACAUGCUGGAUGGAACAAAAUGGAAAGCUUUCAGAAAAUCCCGUGCUUUGCUAUAGAACAGCAAUGGUCGGUCGGCACAAGCUGAAGCUCACCCACUAAAGUCAGAAAUACCUCAACACACACGGACUCUGAGCGGAGUAGUUGUAGCUGCUGCCAUCUAAAUAUUGUGCUCUCAAGAGCAUUCGCCGUUUUUUAUUUUUUAUUUUUUUUUUGCACCACCAGAAGAUCCCGUCGUUCAGCUGAGGC
RNAcentral lists this long non-coding RNA (286 nucleotides) under Elaeis guineensis (African oil palm). RNAcentral describes it as "long non-coding RNA (EGUI_LNC025577)". Lineage: Eukaryota; Viridiplantae; Streptophyta; Magnoliopsida; Arecales; Arecaceae. The record is from RNAcentral.